Molecule: ribosomal RNA, 264 nt
Filed under: uncultured bacterium
Lineage: Bacteria
Description: partial 16S rRNA
Rfam family: Bacterial small subunit ribosomal RNA
Source: RNAcentral
GUGCCAGCCGCCGCGGUAAUACGUAGGUUGCAAGCGUUGUCCGGAUUUACUGGGCGUAAAGGAUGCGUAGGCGGAUAUUUAAGUGAGGUGUGAAAUCCCCGGGCUUAACUUGGGGGUUGCAUUUCAAACUGGAUGUCUGGAGUGCAGGAGAGGAAAGCAGAAUUCCUAGUGUAGCGGUGAAAUGCGUAGAGAUUAAGAAGAAUACCAGUGGCGAAGGCGGGUGACUGGACUGUAACUGACGCUGAGGCAGGAAAGCGUGGGGAG